CCUACGGGAGGCUGCAGUGGGGAAUAUUGGACAAUGGGGGGAACCCUGAUCCAGCCAUGCCGCGUGUGUGAAGAAGGCCCUCGGGUUGUAAAGCACUUUCAGUGAGGAAGAACGCCUGGUGGUUAAUACCCAUCAGGAAAGACAUCACUCACAGAAGAAGCACCGGCUAACUCCGUGCCAGCAGCCGCGGUAAUACGGAGGGUGCGAGCGUUAAUCGGAAUUACUGGGCGUAAAGCGCGCGUAGGUGGCUUGAUAAGCCGGUUGUGAAAGCCCCGGGCUCAACCUGGGAACGGCAUCCGGAACUGUCAAGCUAGAGUGCAGGAGAGGAAGGUAGAAUUCCCGGUGUAGCGGUGAAAUGCGUAGAGAUCGGGAGGAAGACCAGUGGCGAAGGCGGCCUUCUGGACUGACACUGACACUGAGGUGCGAAAGCGUGGGUAGCAAACAGGAUUAGAUACCCCAGUAGUC
This 465-nucleotide ribosomal RNA is filed under the name Vreelandella stevensii. RNAcentral describes it as "partial 16S ribosomal RNA". It matches the Rfam family "Bacterial small subunit ribosomal RNA", at positions 338 to 795 of the family's 1533-position model. The record is from RNAcentral. Lineage: Bacteria; Pseudomonadati; Pseudomonadota; Gammaproteobacteria; Oceanospirillales; Halomonadaceae.